UAUAAAAAAAAACAAAAUGUUUAAUAACCUGAUUAUAGAAAGCCCUGCUCUUGAGCUGCAAGAGCUCUUAGUCUUUGUGUCAGAAUAUAAUAAGGAGGUCGACGAAAGUGAAAAUUCAAAGCGUAUCAAAACUAUGGAUGUUAGAGAUAUUAUUGAGGAGUUCUCUUUGCAUGAUAUAAACUCAAACGGUGUGAUCAGCUAUAAUGAAUUUCCAUCGCUUGCUCUAGAGUACUUGACAGAAAAUCCAAAAGAAUUAUUAAGUAGGUCCCCAAUACCGGAACUCAAACCGCUCGUUAAACUUUACGAACUCUCGAAAGCACAAAAAAAAAUCGAAUAUAAG
This is a long non-coding RNA of Adelges cooleyi (spruce gall adelgid), 340 nucleotides long. RefSeq lists it as uncharacterized. The record is from RefSeq and is a predicted model, not a curated record. The transcript has 3 exons. Lineage: Eukaryota; Metazoa; Arthropoda; Insecta; Hemiptera; Adelgidae.